UACGGAAGGCAGCAGUGGGGAAUAUUGCACAAUGGGCGAAAGCCUGAUGCAGCUAUGCCGCGUGUAUGAAGAAGGCCUUAGGGUUGUAAAGUACUUUCAUCGGGGAGGAAAAACAAAACUAAUAAUUUUAUUUCUUGACGUUACCCGAAAAAGAAGCACCGGCUAACUCCGUGCCAGCAGCCGCGGUAAUACGGAGGGUGCUAGCGUUAAUCAGAAUUACUGGGCGUAAAGAGCACGUAGGUGGUUUUUUUAAGUCAGAUGUGAAAUCCCUGGGCUUAAUCUGGAACUGCAUUUUGAAACUGAAAUACUAGAGUAUCGUAGAGGGAGGUAGAAUUCUAGGUGUAGCGGUGAAAUGCGUAGAUAUCUGGAGGAAUACCUGUGGCGAAAGCGGCCUCCUAAACGAAUACUGACACUGAGGUGCGAAAGCGUGGGGAGCAAACAGGGAUUAGAUACC
RNAcentral lists this ribosomal RNA (454 nucleotides) under uncultured bacterium. Its description in RNAcentral is "bacterial SSU rRNA". It matches the Rfam family "Bacterial small subunit ribosomal RNA", at positions 340 to 786 of the family's 1533-position model. The record is from RNAcentral.